CCUGACGAAGCAACGCCGCGUGGGGGAUGAAGGUCCUCGGAUCGUAAACCCCUGUCGACCGGGACGAAGGUAUCCGACCUAACACGUCGGCGUAUUGACUGUACCGGUGGAGGAAGCCACGGCUAACUCUGUGCCAGCAGCCGCGGUAAUACAGAGGGGGCGAGCGUUGUUCGGAAUUACUGGGCGUAAAGGGCGCGUAGGUGGCCUGUUAAGUCGAACGUGAAAUCCCCGGGCUCAACCCGGGGACUGCGUCCGAGACUGGCAGGCUCGAAUCCGGGAGAGGGAUGUGGAAUUCCAGGUGUAGCGGUGAAAGUGCGUAGAUAUCUGGAGGAACACCGGUGGCGAAGGCGGCAUCCUGGACCGGUAUUGACGCUGAGGCGCGAAAGCCAGGGGAGCAAACGGGAUUAGAUACCCCGGUAGUCCUGGCCCUAAACGAUGAAUGCUUGGUGUGGCGGGUAUCGAUCCCUGCCGUGCCGAAGCUAACGCAUUAAGCAUUCCGCCUGGGGAGUACGGUCGCAAGGCUG
Molecule: ribosomal RNA, 524 nt
Filed under: uncultured Acidobacteriota bacterium
Lineage: Bacteria; Pseudomonadati; Acidobacteriota
Description: bacterial SSU rRNA
Rfam family: Bacterial small subunit ribosomal RNA
Source: RNAcentral